CGCUCCUUGCUUGUAUUGUAUAGGGAGUCGUUCCUGCUCUAUGAUGUACGCAUUCAAUAGCAGCGGUAUAAGUGACCGUUCAAAGGUAGUGUAAUUAAAGCUGAUUAAUUGUUGGCCAAUGAAAGGAUUGAUGAACUAAAUUUGUCUCACCCGUGUAUAUGUGAAUUUAACUUCUAAGUGAAGAGGCUUAGAUGCUGUAAAGGGACGAUAAGACCCUGUCAAACUUUAGUUUAGUGUGAAUGUCUGUAAAAUAUCCCAUUCACUGAGAAUUUUAGUUGGGGCAACUUGGAAGUAUAAAAACUUUCAUAUAUCAGAUGUUUUAGUUUAUGUGCAUAAGACUCAACUGAUGUUAAUUAUAGAAUAAGUUACUGGAGGGGUAACAGCAUUCUCCCCCUGGCGAGUAACUUAUUGAUAGGGGGGUUUGUGACCUCGAUGUUGAAUUGGAACUGUCUCCUAGGUCGGUAGCAGCUUUGGAAGCGGGUCUGUUCGCCCUUUAAAGUUCCCCA
This 506-nucleotide ribosomal RNA is filed under the name Yoldiella americana. Its description in RNAcentral is "partial 16S ribosomal RNA". It matches the Rfam family "Bacterial large subunit ribosomal RNA", at positions 1816 to 2600 of the family's 2925-position model. The record is from RNAcentral. Lineage: Eukaryota; Metazoa; Mollusca; Bivalvia; Nuculanida sp.; Yoldiidae.